AAGGGUCCGUAGGCGGUUUGGUAAGUCAGUGGUGAAAGCCCAUCGCUUAACGAUGGAACGGCCAUUGAUACUGCCAGACUUGAAUUACUAGGAAGUAACUAGAAUAUGUAGUGUAGCGGUGAAAUGCUUAGAUAUUACAUGGAAUACCAAUUGCGAAGGCAGGUUACUACUAGUGGAUUGACGCUGAUGGACGAAAGCGUGGGGGAGCGAACAGGAUUAGAUACCCCAGU
This 230-nucleotide ribosomal RNA is filed under the name uncultured bacterium. RNAcentral describes it as "partial 16S ribosomal RNA". It matches the Rfam family "Bacterial small subunit ribosomal RNA", at positions 563 to 791 of the family's 1533-position model. The record is from RNAcentral.